CUAAUAAUCGCGACGAAGGAACUGAGAUUUUCUCUCUCACAACUUAACGCUUACCUGAGGAUCUCAACUGCAGUAAAAUGAGUUCCUCUGACACCAACUCAGAGAAGAAGUUCACUUUGCGAUCCGCGGAAUCGAUUCAGAAAUCGUUUCCACUAUUGGCGAGUACAACAUCUGUGCAUCUGGCAGUGAAAGAUGGCAAGAUCACCCCAAACGAGGGACGGAAAUUAGGACAGCAGAUAUUUCAGGCGAACAAGGACGCGACCAAUCUUCAAAUAAUAAACUCCAACCUGCGUAAAUA
This is a long non-coding RNA of Diprion similis, 298 nucleotides long. RefSeq lists it as uncharacterized. Lineage: Eukaryota; Metazoa; Arthropoda; Insecta; Hymenoptera; Diprionidae. The transcript is spliced from 3 exons. The record is from RefSeq and is a predicted model, not a curated record.